UACGGGGGGGGCAAGCGUUGUUCGGAAUUACUGGGCGUAAAGGGCGCGUAGGCGGCCUGCUAAGUCACACGUGAAAUCCCUCGGCUCAACCGGGGAACUGCGUGUGAUACUGGCGGGCUUGAAUUCGGGAGAGGGAUGUGGAAUUCCAGGUGUAGCGGUGAAAUGCGUAGAUAUCUGGAGGAACACCGGUGGCGAAGGCGGCAUCCUGGACCAAGAUUGACGCUGAGGCGCGAAAGCAUGGGGAGCGAACAGG
RNAcentral lists this ribosomal RNA (253 nucleotides) under uncultured bacterium. RNAcentral's name for it is "partial 16S ribosomal RNA". It matches the Rfam family "Bacterial small subunit ribosomal RNA", at positions 524 to 776 of the family's 1533-position model. The record is from RNAcentral.